Molecule: ribosomal RNA, 482 nt
Filed under: uncultured bacterium
Lineage: Bacteria
Description: bacterial SSU rRNA
Rfam family: Bacterial small subunit ribosomal RNA
Source: RNAcentral
UUGAACGCUGGCGGCAUGCCUUACACAUGCAAGUCGAGCGGCAGCGCGGGGGCAACCCUGGCGGCGAGCGGCGAACGGGUGAGUAAUGCAUCGGAACGUGUCCUCUUGUGGGGGAUAACCAGUCGAAAGACUGGCUAAUACCGCAUGAGAUCGAGAGAUGAAAGCAGGGGACCGCAAGGCCUUGCGCGAGAGGAGCGGCCGAUGCCCGAUUAGCUAGUUGGUGAGGUAAUAGCUCACCAAGGCGACGAUCGGUAGCUGGUCUGAGAGGACGACCAGCCACACUGGGACUGAGACACGGCCCAGACUCCUACGGGAGGCAGCAGUGGGGAAUUUUGGACAAUGGGGGCAACCCUGAUCCAGCCAUGCCGCGUGUGUGAAGAAGGCCUUCGGGUUGUAAAGCACUUUCGGCCGGAACGAAAUCGCGCGAGUUAACACCCCGCGUGGAUGACGGUACCGGAAGAAGAAGCACCGGCUAACUACGU